This 460-nucleotide ribosomal RNA is filed under the name uncultured bacterium. RNAcentral's name for it is "partial 16S ribosomal RNA". It matches the Rfam family "Bacterial small subunit ribosomal RNA", at positions 338 to 795 of the family's 1533-position model. The record is from RNAcentral.
CCUACGGGUGGCAGCAGUGAGGAAUCUUGGUCAAUGGACGAGAGUCUGAACCAGCCACGUAGCGUGCAGGCUGACUGCCCUAUGGGUUAUACACUUCUUUUAUAUGGGAAUAAACCAGGGUAUGCAUACCAUCUUGUAUGUACCAUAUGAGUAAGGAUCGGCUAACUCCUUGCCAGCAGCCGCGGUAAUACGGAGGAUCCGAGCGUUAUCCGGAUUUCUUGGGUUUAAAGGGAGCGUAGGUGGAUUGUUAAGUCAGUUGUUAAAGUUUGCGGCUCAACCGUAAAAUUGCAGUUGAAACUGGCAGUCUUGAGUACAGUAGAGGUGGGCGGAAUUCGUGGUGUAGCGGUGAAAUGCUGAGAUAUCACGAAGAACUCCGAUUGCGAAGGCAGCUCACUGGACUGCAACUGACACUGAUGCUCGAAAGUGUGGGUAUCAAACAGGAUUAGAUACCCUAGUAGUC